Acinonyx jubatus (cheetah) is the source of this 3518-nucleotide long non-coding RNA. RefSeq lists it as uncharacterized. The record is from RefSeq and is a predicted model, not a curated record. The transcript is spliced from 4 exons. NCBI's taxonomy places the organism in Eukaryota, Metazoa, Chordata, Mammalia, Carnivora, Felidae.
GAUAUUACAAUUUGUUCCAUAGACUUCAGUUAGCACACAGUUUGUACAGGGCCUGAGGCUGACAAUGGAGACAAAGAGUUACAAGGUACAGUCACUUCUAAGGAGCUGACCCUUUAUUAGUGGACAAGGCCAUGAAUAAAGAAUGCCAGAUGAAUAGCGCAAGAUCUGAACUUCAUGGACACAGUGGAGGAGACUGAGCUCCCUUGAUUUCUGACUGCAUACAGUGUUCGGUCAAUAAGAAGUCAUAUGGCAUCAGAGGAAGAGAGGAGAAAGGUCAGAUGAAUCUGCUCAUAAUCCCAAAGUAUUCUCCCUCCUGACUACAUCAGAGAAACUUCUCAUGGCAUAGAAACUGCCAGCAGCCAGAUGAAGACACCUGUCCCUAUCUGCAUGUGGAGUCAUAAGCAGUCAUUUCCUAGCUUGGCAGCACUCCUUCAAGUGACAUUUCCAACACCACCUAGAGAACCAGGAAAUUCAGUCAGACAGGCAGCACCAGAGGUGGGCCUGAUCAAGUCCCUCUUGGCAAAUUCUUGUUCAAGAAAUAAAAAGGGGAAGACCCUGGACAUAAAUCCCAACAUGCUAUAGAUAAUUUUUUGGAGGUAAUUGCUGAUUUGCAAAUAGGCAAAGUUUUUAAGCUUUGACUUGUUUAGAAUAUGGAAGAAAAUAAUAAUAAUAAUAAAAAGGACAGUCUUAUUUCUUUUCUUUUAUAAUUACCCACACAGAAUGAAGAGAACUGAGGAAAUUAAUCUUAAUGACCCAAAGCCCUCCCCUCUAGAAACAUACUUUCCCUCAUUGUAUGGGUAUUUCAAAUAAUCAGAUCCCCAAAAUGGCUUCUAGUUCUUCUCCUUUUCAUGGCUAGGUAGCUUUCCUCUUUCUCUCUUUUUUUACUUCCUUCCUUUCUUCCUACAAAUAAUUAUUGAAUACAUAGAAUAUUACAGGCCCUUAGGAUACAUCAGUUAACUUUAUAGACAUUGUCUUUGCCCUCGUGGAACUUAGUCUGGUUGGGGGAUCAGGCAUCAAAUUAAAAUUUAUACAAAGUGUUAUAUAAUUGCAGUAAUUUCAGUAAUAAUAAAUAUAGUACUAUAUUAUAUUAAUUUUUAACAAGUCUGUAAGUUCAGGGAAGGCUUUCCUAAAGAAAACAAUAUUCAUUGUUGAGACUAAAAGGAUAAAUAAUACAUAAAGCAAUCCCAAAUAUAGAAGCCUCCCAGAAAAUGGAAAGACAAAGAAAAUGAACAAAACAAUCUCUAAUACAGUCUAGAUUUAGACCCAUAGUCAACGUUAUAUCAACAAGAAAGUGAUGCUCUUUCUACAAUCUCUUUUUGGAAUCCUAUUCCUGAAGAGAAGAGACUGCUGUUAAAUACCUGAAAAAAUGUCAUCACUAUUAACAGAUAACCUAAAUGUAUUUGUAAUCCAGAGCUUAGAUGAUCUGUAUAGCUAAAAGAACAAAUACCAGCAAAUAAUACCCAAAGGGGUGUUAGAAAACAUAUAUUCUGUCCAACCUGAAUUAUUUGCAUCCCCAGUAUGGAAGUGUAUUUAUUAGGGUAUAAGUUUGACUGCCAUGACAGAAACUCAAAACAAUAGAAGCUUAAACAUAGUGGAAGUGUUGUUUUUCUCUCUACUAACCACCUGAGUAUAAGAAUACCAGAAUUAGGAUGGUAGCUCCAUGGUGUGAAGGCACAGUCUUCUUAUAUCAUGUUGUUUUAUGCUCUCUAGAAUGUUGCCCUCAUCUGCAUGUUUCAAGAUGACUCAUAAGAAAGGGAAAAGAAGUUAAAGAGAAGUACAUUCCAUUUUAAGAGGCACAACCCAGAAUUUUCUGAUGUCAUUUCUGCUCUUAAAUCAUGACCUAGAUGGACCUAGUCACAAGGCCACACCUAGCUUUGGAAACAUAGUCAUUAUUCUGGGUACUCAUAUGCCCAAGUGAAAAAUAUGAGAAAGAAAAUGAUAUCAGAUAAUUGGGGGAAAUGCAUAUACCACCACAAUGACAAACAUGAAAAACAUUAUGAUAACUCAAAGGAUAUAACAAUGAGUGAGGCUAGUUUCCUGACCUGAAGGAUGCCAGGAGCCAAUGGUUGGGAGAGGCAGCAGACAUGCACUAGAGGAGAGGUAGAUUUUAGGGAUGAGGAAAGGCCAUACAUUGAUUCUCUUUGGGGAAUUAUCAUAGAAAAGGUAACAGCUAAGUUGGGUUCUAAAUUAUGUGUCAGAUUUCAACAGGAAGAGAAAGGUAAGAACCUUUCAGGAAGAGGAAACCAUGUUACAGCAACUUCCUUGAUGGAUCUACAUGAGCUUAAUAUGCUUGUUGCUGUAUCCACACGUUAUCUUUAGUCAGAUGAUUUAAAGAAUAAUCUUAAUUACAAGUCUUAGUCAAAGUAAUGAGUAUUAUCCGUUUUAAUGCAAAAGUGAAUUGUGAAAGUUUUUGAAUCAUAACUAGUGCAUUCCUGAGUGGUGAGAUCCCGCUUGAUAGACCUAACAAAAUGAUGAGGGCUGAGAUUCUUCUUGGAAGUGUUAAUCCACAAAGUAUGUAGCCAUAAACAUGCCUUUUCCUUUUACAUUCUAAAGACAUCCACAAAGUAAGGUAAACAGUGAAGAAGGAUCUGUAAAAUAAUCCAUCUCAAGACUAUCACAACUCAUAAAAAUUGAGUUAACUAAACUCUGUCCAGAUGAGAAAAUAGCAGUCAUAAUUUCCAUGAGUAUAUGAAUUUAUGGUUUUAAAAGAGUGUACUUUACAUUGUCAGUUAAUACUUAAUAUAAAUCUAUGCUAUAGGUACAGCUGGUAUUAUUAUUUCAAUUUUAAGAGUGACACAACCAAAUCUAAAAGAUAUAAAGAUAUCAAUAUCAAAUAGGAAGAGUUUCAGAGAUGAGACUCAAACCCACAAUGUAACAAGAACAUGUAUUUACUGUUGUGGGAAGAUAAAAUGAUUGUCCAUGCAUGUAUUCUCAGGUGUAGGGCAUAAGUCAAAACUAAACAUAAAGGGUUAAAUACUAAUUAUCUAAAUAUAUUCCCAAAAGCUCUUUCCUAAUCUUGCCAUCAUGAAAGAAACACAGGUGGAAAAGUAAUUUAAACAGACUGAUGUAUUUCCUGAGAAUUCUAGAAAAUUUGGGACCACUCUCUUAUCAGCUUAUGUGUAGGUUUUCCCAAGAAUUACAUGCUAGAAUAGCCUGGUGUGAAAUUUAUUCUAUAAGGGGAUUGUUUAAUAAUUCAGUUUAAUCAUAUUUGUAAAACUGUGUUGAUACAAAGGGCUAUUAAUAGAAAUGUAGUAAUACUCCAUCAAAGCACUAAAUCCAAUUAAUUGGAGAUAGUCUAUUAUGGUCAAUUAAUUAAAAGUCUCAACUUAGAAUGUUUCAGUAAAAUAUCAUUCCUAUAAUAUUUUAGUAAACAACAAUGUGCAAUCAAAUUGGGAAGUCUGCUGGAUAUAUUUUAACAAAACUUUUGAAUUUGCAGUGUAUACAAACAAUGCUUAAAGGUUAUUUAAAUAAAUGUUCUAUAUUCUAAUAUAACAUAUCCAUUUGCUUAAGAAAUCAUU